GCUGUAGCUUAGUGGUAGAACAUACACCUUACAGGCAGACGGUCCUGGGUUCAAUUCCCGGCAAAUCCA
Molecule: non-coding RNA, 69 nt
Organism: Podarcis lilfordi (Lilford's wall lizard)
Lineage: Eukaryota; Metazoa; Chordata; Lepidosauria; Squamata; Lacertidae
Source: the annotation of a GenBank genome assembly